GUGAAGAAAUGACGGCAAUACAUUCACAGACGCUUUAAAUUUGAGCAGACUGCACUGCGCAGUGUGUACGUUAGUUUCGAAACGGAAGUUAUGCUUAUUUAGGUUUCCGAAGAUUAAUUUUUCAUUGUGAUUGUUAUGGCAAAUGCAGGUUUUGGGACUGGGAAAAGUUUAAUUGUAUUAGCUAUUGUUGUGGGGUGUUUUGCUAUAUUAUGGCCAAAAAUAUUCUAUCCAAUGAUGCAGACUGCUUUUGCUAUGACAUCGCCCAAAAUAGACAGCGAUGGAUUUCGAGAAACUGAUCGGCCUCCUCAUCUUCAUCCUGGUUCCAUCAAUCCUCGAAUGAGGAGUUCUAUGUCAGAUGAUGUGCAAGAUAAAUUUCACAUGAGGGAAGGGAGGCCAUUUCCUCAUCCUCAAGCUAGACAGCCUGUUAAAACACAGCCUAAAUCAGGUGGAGCCAUGAGUAUUAUUAUGCCCAUUUACACAGUGGGAAUAAUUGUUUUCUUUGUGUAUACAGUUUUAAAGCUUGUCUUUAAAAAGCCUUCUGAGGCUGAUAAAAAGCCCUUAAUCAAGGAUUUUCACAUGGAUCCAGAGUAUAGAAAAUUCGUAUGCCAACAGUCUUCUAAAGAAACUACAAAAAAUUGCCGGGAAGAAAAAAGAUCUAAAAAGAGUUCAAAUCUUUCUGAAACUACCAUUCCCGAAAGUUGUGCUGAAGAGUUAGAUGCUAAAGACUAUGAAAUCUACAAGUUAAAAAAAAAGCUGGAAGAAACGGAGCAAGCAAUGGAGCGAAUAAUGAAGCAUAUGGGUGCAAUGAGUGCAUGUCUAUCAGAACGUAUGACAAAUGAAAAAAAUGUAAGCCCUGCUGAACAAACUGAAAUUAGAAAUAAUUUAACAUGUUUGAUAUGUGGUAGAUUGAUGAAUUAAAGAUGAAUAAGGAUAACAAAGUAAAAGCACUUAGGAAAAAAACGUAAUAUGCAUGUUUCAGUUGUGCACUGAAAAAAUAAGAAUAGAUGUUGCCAUGAGCAAAGGCAUAAAGGUAAAGCUAAAAAUCAUGGCAGCAGUAAUGCACAGAAAAUGUAUCGAAUGGAUGAGGAAAGAAAUGCUUUGGAACAUGAACAUUGCAAGAAAUUGCAGGAAGAUCUCACAAAACUCAUAAAAAU
This 1154-nucleotide unclassified non-coding RNA is filed under the name Stegodyphus dumicola. RNAcentral's name for it is "resistance to inhibitors of cholinesterase protein 3- like, transcript variant X1". Lineage: Eukaryota; Metazoa; Arthropoda; Arachnida; Araneae; Eresidae. The record is from RNAcentral.